ACGGGAGGCAGCAGUAAGGAAUAUUGGUCAAUGGAGGCAACUCUGAACCAGCCAUGCCGCGUGCAGGAUGACUGCCCUAUGGGUUGUAAACUGCUUUUGUCAGGGAAUAAACCUACUUACGUGUAAGUAGCUGAAUGUACCUGAAGAAUAAGGAUCGGCUAACUCCGUGCCAGCAGCCGCGGUAAUACGGAGGAUCCAAGCGUUAUCCGGAUUUAUUGGGUUUAAAGGGUGCGUAGGCGGUCUUAUAAGUCAGUGGUGAAAGACGGCAGCUUAACUGUCGCAGUGCCUUUGAUACUGUAGGACUUGAAUCUAUUUGAAGUGGGCGGAAUAAGACAAGUAGCGGUGAAAUGCAUAGAUAUGUCUUAGAACUCCGAUUGCGAAGGCAGCUCACUAAGUUAGUAUUGACGCUGAUGCACGAAAGCGUGGGGAUCAAACAGGAUUAGAUACCCUGGUAGUCCACGCCCUAAACGAUGAUAACUCGAUGUUUGCGAUACACAGUAAGCGUCCAAGCGAAAGCGUUAAGUUAUCCACCUGGGGAGUACGGUCGCAAGAUUGAAACUCAAAGGAAUUGACGGGGGCCCGCACAAGCGGAGGAGCAUGUGGUUUAAUUCGAUGAUACGCGAGGAACCUUACCCGGGCUUGAAAGUUAGUGAAUGAGACAGAGACGUCUCAGUCCUUCGGGACACGAAACUAGGUGCUGCAUGGCUGUCGUCAGCUCGUGCCGUGAGGUGUUGGGUUAAGUCCCGCAACGAGCGCAACCCCUAUGUUUAGUUGCCAGCACGUAAUGGUGGGGACUCUAAACAGACUGCCUGUGCAAACAGAGAGGAAGGUGGGGACGACGUCAAGUCAUCAUGGCCCUUACGUCCGGGGCUACACACGUGCUACAAUGGAUGGUACAGCGGGCAGCUACAUAGCAAUAUGAUGCUAAUCUCUAAAAGCCAUUCACAGUUCGGAUUGAGGUCUGCAACUCGACCUCAUGAAGUUGGAUUCGCUAGUAAUCGCGUAUCAGCAAUGACGCGGUGAAUACGUUCCCGGGCCUUGUACACACCGCCCGUCAAGCCAUGAAAGUUGGGGGUACCUAAAGCAUGUAACCGCAAGGAGCG
This 1103-nucleotide ribosomal RNA is filed under the name Sphingobacterium sp. RNAcentral describes it as "bacterial SSU rRNA". It matches the Rfam family "Bacterial small subunit ribosomal RNA", at positions 341 to 1454 of the family's 1533-position model. The record is from RNAcentral. Lineage: Bacteria; Pseudomonadati; Bacteroidota; Sphingobacteriia; Sphingobacteriales; Sphingobacteriaceae.